This is a long non-coding RNA of Branchiostoma floridae (Florida lancelet), 3051 nucleotides long. RefSeq lists it as uncharacterized. Lineage: Eukaryota; Metazoa; Chordata; Leptocardii; Amphioxiformes; Branchiostomatidae. The record is from RefSeq and is a predicted model, not a curated record. The transcript is spliced from 2 exons.
CAAGAUAGAUGCUUAGAAUUGAAUUGAAAGUCAAUAUUACAUGUAUAGGUAGGCUGUAAAAAGUGCAAAUAGAGAUAUAGGUAAUCAGAUGAAUAUUAGCUAUGGAUGAGUGGGCAUAAAAAACAAUAUGUUCAUUGGAAGUAUUGAGCCCAUGAAAAGGUGAUCUGUAAGUAUAAGAUGGAACACUGGACAAAAUACUGACACUUAGUGAAGAAGUCAGCACAAGCAGACCAUGAAAAAUGAGUUUUAAAAAUGCAAGCUACACAUUUUUCCACUGGGGAAAGAGCCUAUUGUAACAAGCUGACAACCAUUUCCCAUAUGGGGAAAAGGCCACGAUUUUAGUUCAUUGUCUGCUACCUUAAGUACUAAUACGAUGAGCCAUAAUGUAUAGCCAACACCUCAGCAGAGGGUUUCCCUCUCUGGUCAGACAAAUCAUGAUUAGAAGAAUUUCCAUGAAAGGAUUCUAUAACAAAUAACAGACAAAUAGGAGCUAUAACACUCUGGUGAUAUCUCUUUUAAGAAAAUGCUAUUACUCAGACCAAACAUAAUCAUAAGGCAGUUCUUAGCCUCUACAUAGGUCUUUAAGAUGCAAGAAAUGGUACAAAAUAAGUACGAUAUGCCACAACAUUAAAGAACACCAAUUCAGUCCCAGGGAAAGCCAACUAGUCCAGCUGACAGGACAGCUACAGGAUCAAGUCUAAGAUGUAAUGGUUACCUGUCACAGCUUGGGACAAUGCCAUCAAUGAAAGGCUCAUACAACUAGGGACAAGGACAUCACAUGUAGGUAACAACACUUCAGCACCAGAGACAAGGCCAUCACAUAUAGGUAACAACACUUCAGCACCAGGGACAAGGACAUCAUGUGCAGGUAACAACACUUCAGCACCAGGGAAAUAACAUAACAUGCAGGUAACAACACUUCAGCACCAGGGACAAGGACAUCACAUGUAGGUAACAACACUUCAGCACCAGAGACAAGGCCAUCACAUAUAGGUAACAACACUUCAGCACCAGGGAUAAGGACAUCACAUGCAGGUAACAACACUUCAGCGCCAGUGAAAUAACAUAACAUGCAGGUAACAACACUUCACUGCCAGGGAAAUAACAUAACAUGCAGGUAACAACACUUCAGCACCUGGGACAAGGACAUCACAUAUAGGUAACAACACUUCAGCACCAGGGACAAGGCCAUCACAUGCAGGUAACAACACCCCAGCACCAGGGACAAGAACAUCAUAUGCAGAUAACAACACUUCAGCACCAGGGACAAAGCCAGGGUGUCCUGAUAUUCCUCAGCAGGCAUGAUAAGUUACCAAUGUUUAAAAUGUCUGUGUCUACCAUAUCCAGUUUCCACAAUUUCAACACUGGGCCAUGACCAGCGAAAUAACAAACACCUGACAUUUCAUUUCAAGACAAGGAGAAUCUAUGAACAGCAGGGUCUAUCCCCAGUCAAAAGCUAAGCUGCAGGGAAAUACACAGAUGUCUCACCAUAGAUGGCUACAUCUUGCCUAAGUCAUUAUCAUCAUGGGCUAUAACACAGUAAGAAAGUCUGUUCCUGGUAGAUAGUAAAAAAAAUCAACAAUGUACAAAACUUGGGGAAUACUGGGGUUACACAUCUGUGACAUCAGGGACCUGUCCUGUGGCAUGUCCACUUAUCAGUUAUCACCAUCCUUAGGAUAACACAUACAGCCAUUUGUUAAGAGCAUCAAAGGGCCAGGUUACAACUACAGUCUUUCAACAAUGACACAUCAGAUGAUGAUGAUAAUGACACAUCAGCCAAUACUGUCUUAAGUCCUUUUUCUGGAAAUAUCUGACCCAAGUUGCACAAAACAAUCUAAUAGCUUUUGAAACGUGUCACAAGUAGGUCAAGAGAUGGUAGGAAAGACAUGCUUUAACUGCAUUUUGCAGACAAUUGUAGAUCAAAUAUCUGACUUCUCAUUUACUUUCUUCCACUAUCAUUCUUAAGUACUCAUUUGAGAGUGACGAUUCUCCGAUAACAUUUUCCUGCCUUGUCUAGCAUUGCAAAACAACAUACACUUUCAAUCAGGUAAAAGUCAAAUAAGGAGGUACUAAAAUAGGUAUUACAUGCUGUAACACGUCUGUUGCAAAGGUAGAAUACAACUAACGUCAUCAAUGACCAAGAUACUCAUGCAAAAAUUAUUCAGCAGGUAAAGGUUAACAAAAACAAGAAAGUCCAGAAAGUUGUUUGCUACUGAGGAGCAACAGUUUCCCCUGUCUAACGGUAAACUAAAGAUUCAUGAGUCCAGGGAGAGCUCUAAAACCCAGCAGCUUCAGCCAUCAAUCCUCCUGAUAGCCUAUCUAUGAGUCACUGCCAUGCUCAACUACAAUGGGAAUUUGUGAACAACUUGGUGAAUAAGAUUUCUGAAAGCCCUCACAAGGAUCAGGCUUAUCUUACAGAUCCAAUGGCUUACACACAGGGGGGCGGUUGCCUUAAAGCAUAUGCCUUCCGUUCAGAAUUCUGAUAAGGAAUUUUGGAUGUAGAGGUGAAUGGUGGGCACCCAUGCUUUUAUGUUCCCAGAGCACCACCACUACCAUCUUGAUUGUCAGGCCUCAUAUGGACCAAAUCAAAUUCCGUGAGGGAGCAUGCUUAAUGCAGCACAUCAAUGACCACAAGCGGUCCCAGAAACACUCCUUAUCAUGUCCAACAUGAGCAGGAAUGGGACGCAGCAUGUCUUAUCAGUUGGCCCUUGACCCUACCCCAGCUGCCACAUUUCUAUUAGUCCCACUACAAUUCCCCGAGGAUGUGUAAGGGGGAUUUGUCUUAGACAAUUCUAGGCUUCUGUUCCUCUGUUCAAUUUCCUAUUUUGUAAAUUUAGCCAAGCAGUAGCCCCAGCUGCUUUUCUUGUAUUAUGGACAUGUACAUUCAAGAUGUUUACCCAUGCUAAGGAUUUUUCCGCUACUUUUUUUCUGAGGAAUUCUCCUUAGUCAAUGUGGUACUAUAUAUCUUAUGGUGAAACCUUUCCAUGGAAUAUUUCAGGAUAGAAGUUACAUGUCUUUGAUAUGUUGUUCUACCAAAAGGAUGGCAAGAAC